Long non-coding RNA from Ruditapes philippinarum (Manila clam), 2633 nucleotides. RefSeq lists it as uncharacterized. The record is from RefSeq and is a predicted model, not a curated record. The transcript is spliced from 3 exons. Lineage: Eukaryota; Metazoa; Mollusca; Bivalvia; Venerida; Veneridae.
UUGGAGCUGUGACUACUGGAGCAAUGAAGGACUUGACAGACACUGUGAAAGUUGAUCAAGACUGGUAUCGAUUCUUCGAGAGUCCCGGUGCUGAUAUACUCGCAAGAAGCAGUCGUGUUUGGGACAGCUUUCUACACCUCUGUGCCGGCAGAUUUGUAAGAUUGGAAGUUGUUUCAGUGUGGAGAGAGAUGGACACGGUGUAUUGUUGGGUAAAACUUGCCCUUUGAUGUCACGGGUAGUUCUCAUUAAAGGGACACAUCUGCAAAUAAAGCUAGAGAUUUGCAAUGUGGCAUUGGAGCUGUGACUACUGGAGCAAUGAAGGACUUGGCAGACACUGUGAAAGUUGAUCAAGACUGGUAUCGAUUCUUCGAGAGUCCCGGUGCUGAUAUACUCGCAAGAAGCAGUCGUGUUUGGGACAGCUUUCUACACCUCUGUGCCGGCAGAUUUGUAAGAUUGGAAGUUGUUUCAGUGUGGAGAGAGAUGGACACGGUGUAUUGUUGGGUAAAACUUGCCCUUGGAUGUCACGGGUAGUUCUCAUUAAAGUAAACCGUUGAACAAUGAAUGCUAGAUUAGUGUACAACGUUGUGAUGGUGGAUAAUGUCGAAAUGUGGAUGGUUGUGUAACAUUGGUAAAAAGUUUGUGUUGGGAAGUUGCGUGAUGGAGCAUUGGUAAAUUGUAAAUGGCAUAGUUAUUCUGGAAACAGGCUAGCAUCCAGGAAGAAAUAAAGUAUUUAUGUUAUUUAAUAUUUCAAUAAGUAAAAAUAUAUUGAAAUGGUUUAUUCUAUAAAUAAAUGAUAAUUUCAAUGAGAAGGUAUAUCUUACAGAUGAUAGGAAUUGUCAAAAAUUGGUUGUCUUGUUAGCUGGCAGAUGGAAGUUUAAUGGUUCUACUCCAGUACAACCCCUUGCCUGAAACAUUGCACUUAGAUGCACAUCUUCAUGUACCAAAAGAGCUUGAGUGUCGCCAUAUGACUCAAAAACCAACAAAUUAAUUGAAAUAUGUUGAUUUAGAAAAGUAAAUAUUUACAUUUUGAGAUAAUUGUCACCGGCCUUUGUCUAUAACAUAUAUUGUUCUUAGGGACACAUCUGCAAAUAAAGCUAGAGAUUUGCAAUGUGGCAUUGGAGCUGUGACUACUGGAGCAAUGAAGGACUUGGCAGACACUGUGAAAGUUGAUCAAGACUGGUAUCGAUUCUUCGAGAGUCCCGGUGCUGAUAUACUCGCAAGAAGCAGUCGUGUUUGGGACAGCUUUCUACACCUCUGUGCCGGCAGAUUUGUAAGAUUGGAAGUUGUUUCAGUGUGGAGAGAGAUGGACACGGUGUAUUGUUGGGUAAAACUUGCCCUUUGAUGUCACGGGUAGUUCUCAUUAAAGGUAAUGAGUCAUGGCUAUGUUCAUGAAAGAGGGUUAGAAAUCCCUGUCAUUUCAAAUAAAUAUGUCGUAAUAAUUACUGCUAUUUUCAUUUUGUAUAAUGGGCUAGACAUUUGCUUGGUAGUGUACCUACACUUGUUAGAAACAAUGCAUAUUACGACAAUUUUUCACUGACCAAUUUGCUUGAAUGUCGCCAUAUGACUUAAAAAGAAAUAAAGAUAAUUUGUAACUAGUUAAUUUUUUCAAAAGAUUUAUAAUAGUAUAUUUUCACAUUUUGCGAUUUGCAUGUUGUUCUGUUAACCCUAGUUACCUUUUAGUAAACCGUUGAACAAUGAAUGCUAGAUUAGUGUACAACGUUGUGAUGGUGGAUAAUGUCGAAAUGUGGAUGGUUGUGUAACAUUGGUAAAAAGUUUGUGUUGGGAAGUUGCAUGAUGGAGCAUUGGUAAAUUGUAAAUGGCAUAGUUAUUCUGGAAACAGGCUAGCAUCCAGGAAGAAAUAAAGUAUUUAUGUUAUUUAAUAUUUCAAUAAGUAGAAAUAUAUUGAAAUGGUUUAUUCUAUAAAUAAAUGAUAAUUUCAAUGAGAAGGUAUAUCUUACAGAUGAUAGGAAUUGUCAAAAAUUGGUUGUCUUGUUAGCUGGCAGAUGGAAGUUUAAUGGUUCUACUCCAGUACAACCCCUUGCCUGAAACAUUGCACUUAGAUGCACAUCUUCAUGUACCAAAAGAGCUUGAGUGUCGCCAUAUGACUCAAAAACCAACAAAUUAAUUGAAAUAUGUUGAUUAAGAAAAGUAAAUAUUUACAUUUUGAGAUAAUUGUCACUGGCCUUUGUCUAUAACAUAUAUUGUUCUUAGGGACACAUCUGCAAAUAAAGCUGGAGACUUGCAAUAGGCACUGGAGCUGUGACUACUGGAGCAAUGAAGGACUUGGCAGACACUGUGAAAGUUGAUCAAGACUGGUAUCGAUUCUUCGAGAGUCCCGGUGCUGAUAUACUCGCAAGAAGCAGUCGUGUUUUGGACAGCUUUCUACACCUCUGUGCCGGCAGAUUUGUAAGAUUGGAAGUUGUUUCAGUGUGGAGAGAGAUGGACACGGUGUAUUGUUGGGUAAAACUUGCCCUUUGAUGUCACGGGUAGUUCUCAUUUAAGGUAAUGAGUCAUGGCUAUGUUCAUAAAAGAGGGUUAGAAAUCCCUGUCAUUUCAAAUAAAUAUGUCGUAAUAAUUACUGCUAUUUUCAUUUUGUAUAAUUGGCUAGACAUUUGCUUGGUAGUGUACCUACA